GAUGAACGCUGGCGGCGUGCUUAACACAUGCAAGUCGAACGAAGCACUUUAUUUGAUUUCCUUCGGGACUGAUUAUUUUGUGACUGAGUGGCGGACGGGUGAGUAACACGUGGGUAACCUGCCUUGUACAGGGGGAUAACAGUUGGAAACGGCUGCUAAUACCGCAUAAGCGCACAGCAUCGCAUGAUGCAGUGUGAAAAACUCCGGUGGUAUAAGAUGGACCCGCGUUGGAUUAGCUAGUUGGUGAGGUAACGGCCCACCAAGGCGACGAUCCAUAGCCGACCUGAGAGGGUGACCGGCCACAUUGGGACUGAGACACGGCCCAAACUCCUACGGGAGGCAGCAGUGGGGAAUAUUGCACAAUGGGCGAAAGCCUGAUGCAGCGACGCCGCGUGAGCGAAGAAGUAUUUCGGUAUGUAAAGCUCUAUCAGCAGGGAAGAUAAUGACGGUACCUGACUAAGAAGCACCGGCUAAAUACGUG
This 481-nucleotide ribosomal RNA is filed under the name uncultured bacterium. RNAcentral's name for it is "partial 16S ribosomal RNA". It matches the Rfam family "Bacterial small subunit ribosomal RNA", at positions 28 to 507 of the family's 1533-position model. The record is from RNAcentral.